UGACACUGCGCAGGCCCUCGGGUUGGUU
This 28-nucleotide small RNA is filed under the name Bombyx mori (domestic silkworm). Its description in RNAcentral is "ovarian small RNA-3582". The record is from RNAcentral. Lineage: Eukaryota; Metazoa; Arthropoda; Insecta; Lepidoptera; Bombycidae.